Molecule: long non-coding RNA, 4726 nt
Organism: Oncorhynchus tshawytscha (Chinook salmon)
Lineage: Eukaryota; Metazoa; Chordata; Actinopteri; Salmoniformes; Salmonidae
Source: Ensembl
AGCAAACAGGACGCACCGUAGUUUAUGUUACGCAGCAGUUAAUUAUCUUCUUCAAUCUUUUCUCAAAACUGAAAAGGUAAAACAUGGCUACUAACAUGCUGACCAGACCGCUCACACGUAUGUUUAUUUUGUCCACCCACACCAGACCAGUUGCCACAUCAGGACACGCAGGUUGAAAUAUCAAAACGAACUCUGAACUAACUAUAUUAAUUUGGGGACAGGUCGAAAAUAAUUAAAUAUUUAUGGAAAUUUAGCUAGCUAGCUUGCUGUUUCUAGUUAAUUUGUCCUGGGAUAUAAACAUUUGGUUGUUAUUUUACCUGAAAUGCACAAGGUCCUCGACUCCAACAAUUAAUCCACAGAUAAAAGGGUAAACGUUUGUUUCUAGUAAUCUCGCUUUCUUCAGGCUUCUUCUUCUUUGGACUUUAUAUGGCAGUUGGCAACCAACUUUAAUGUGCAUUACCACUACCAACUGGAUUGGAGUGUGGACCUCAGUUAAUCUUUCAAUCACCCACGUGGGUAAAUGCUCCAAAAACCAAUGAGAAGAUUGGAGAGGCAGGACUUGCAAAGCAUCAAGUGUCACAAAUAGAACCAAGUUCUAUUUUAGGGCCUGGCUACGCAGAUGCUCGUUGACACACACGAUCAGUGUUGGUGCAAUGAUUGAAUAACAUUUAUGUGUAAAUUAAUUUUGCUAAUUUAUUUCACAACGCGAGCGGUGUGGUCAGCAUGUUUUUUUAAAUUUUUUUAUUUUACCUUUAUAGGCAAGUCUAGGCAAGUCAGUUAAGAACAAAUUCUUAUUUACAAUGACGGCCUAGGAACAGUGGGUUAACUGCCUGUUCAGGGGCAGAACGACAGAUUUGUACCUUGUCAGCUCGGGGAUUUGAACUUGCAACCUUUCGAUGACAUUAUUGCGGAAAUUGACCGGGAGAGUGACACAGAACUAAUGGAUGAGGACUCUGAGUGAGCACAGUUCUGAUUCCAGUGUGGAAGAAAUGUUUUUGGAAGGAAAAUAUCCACUUUUAGAUCAAUAAGCUGACUGCAGUGAUUAAAUUCUAUAAGGAAAAUGGCGUGGCUUCAAGGAAGAAGAGGUGUGGUGGUCGUCGUCACGCCAGUAAAAGGGUGAUGUCUUAUGAGGAUAUUCAGCAAAUUGUUCACUAUGUCAAAAACGUUGAUGUUCAGCGAUGUCGCUCCUAAGAUGGAUCCCUGGAAUUAAGAGGGCAGACAUCCAGGUGCUACUGACAUUUUAGACCAAGUCCUCUGUGUGGCGCAGGUACAAAAAUGUUUGAUGCAUGAUCAUGUUGAGUGUUUUCCUAAAUCCAACAUUCAACAUCUCAAGCAAGUGGGCCAGCGGCAAAGACUAACCAAUGCCCACACGAAUCGGAUCCAAAUAGGCCAUCAGUCAUUACUCUCUGGUGACGUGUGUGUGUGUGUGUGUGGUCAUAUUUUCUUUAACAUUUCGAAUUGAUUUGCUGUUUAGAGAGAACAGAGCUUACUCUGACCCUGUUUAGCUCUCAGCCCCUCCAUCCCCUUUCCUGUUUUAUCUCUUUUCAGAUGUUUACUCUGUGCGGUGUUCAUAAAAAUGCAGGUCCUGGGUUUGUGAGAGGGUUGCUUAGGCACAUCUACAUACUGUAUGCUGUACCCAGGGAAAAAAAUGUGUAUGAGUAUAGGCUGUACACUUUUUCUGUUACAUGUAUUUAUAAGAGACGUUAUUUAACGUGGGAAUUUCUUAUGUAUUUAUCCUCCCUAGCCUUAUCUUCGAAUGUAAUCUGACAUGGAAAAACAGGGCCAGAACCAUAUGUGCAAGGACUAUACGGGGUGCGGACAUUUGUACAUGCAUGUGCGCGUACACAUGAACACAAACACGUGCACACUGCGUGUAGUCCUCGCACAUACUGUAUCAUGGCAUGAACAUGUGCGGUGUGAGUUUUUCGAUGUCAUACAUAUGUAUCUGCAUGUACUGUACAUGUGUACAUGUGCAAAUAAGUAAAUGUAACCAAUACAUUCUGAUGCUUGUAUGUGUACACAUGUAUGUGUGCAUGCAUACACGUGCAAAUGUACACAUAUACGUGUUUGCGGACAACUAUGCAACAGACACUAUGUCUGCAGUUUUGUAUUAAGUAAAUAGUUGUUAGUCAUUAUUUGAAUAAAUGUCUUAAGUAACUGCAAACUUUGACUGCGUUUUUCUCAAUCACACUCAGUAUGUAACGGUGUGCAACUCACUUAAUAUUUGGAGUAGAGAGAUCAUGUGUGUUUCAUUAGAAAGCUAACAUUUGCCUCUUUUCAGCACUGUAUAAAAUUCCAAAUGUGUUUUUUGGGUCAAUGUGAUUUAUGAUAGAGCAAGUCACAUACAGUAUGUUAACGUAUAUCACAAAUUAACAGUUAACUUUCCCUCUCUAUCUUGACAAUCCUCACAGUUCACUCAGAGAUGGUAUGUAUGCUGGUUGAUGGCACCUGCAGGCCUGUUUGAGGGACAACUGGACACAACAUAUUAGCAUUUUUGGACUUCAGCUGAGACCCUCCUCCUCCUCCUUUACACAUCCUGUUAGGAAAGCUCCUUCUUUACACUUCCUGUUAGGCAUGAUGCUCUCAAGGGGUGUCUCUUCAAUGAUCUAAUGUCGUGUGGUAUUACCUAUAGAUGACCCUUACAAGCUUUCAGAUUGCUUGCCUGUGAAUGGUUGUCCACAUAAUCAGGCUAUUUACUUGUUACAUGGGUCUUUAAAUACUGUCUCUCUUACAGAAUUUAAAUGUUUCAACUGCCCCAUGCUUUCAUAUCAAAAUCAAAUUUAUUUAUAUAGCCCUUCUUACAUCAGCUGAUUUAUCAAAGUGCUGUACAGAAACCCAGCCUAAAACCCCAAAGAGCAAGCAAUGCAGGUGUAGAAGCACGGUGGCUAGGAAAAACAACCUAGAAAGGCCAAAACCUAGGAAGAAACCUAGAGAGAAACCAGGCUAUGAGGGAUGGCCAGUCCUCUUCUGGGCUGUGCCGGGUGGAGAUUAUAACAGAACAUGGCCAAGAUGUUAAAAUGUUCAUAAAUGACCAGCAUGGUCAAAUAAUAAUAAUCACUGUAGUUGUCGAGGGUGCAACAAGUCAGCACCUCAGGAGUAAAUGUCAGUUGGCUUUUCAUAGCCGAUCAUCUCUUUCUUUCUCUCCAUGAUAUAUUAGUGGAAGUUGUUUUGUUGUUGGCACCGAUCCCAUGCUGCCAAAAUCAAUUACUUCAUCCCUCAUACUAAACUUUGCUUGCUCUUGUUCAACUACCCUUUGAUUAAAUCCAUUUAAUUCAAUGUAUAAAUUUUCUUCAAGUGUGGCUUUUACUUAUAGUUGACAGAUGGCACUUGUAUGGAGGGGUGUGGGGGGGGGGAAGAGUGGAUAGAUGGGUGUACAUAGGUUUAGUUGAAGAAACUCCCUCCCCUCCUUCUCUUGAUAAGAAAUGAACGUUCAUGUAAUUGAUCCAAAAUUAAAUCUAAUGUAAUAUUUUAUAAGUUACAAGCUAAGACAAAAUGAGAUUUCAAGAUGUUACUUUGUCUUCACACAUCUAUUCACUGCUGGCCAAAUGCAUUCACCAUCCACUUCAGCAAGCAUUUCCAUUUUUUUAGGCCUGUUUUAAAAUUAAGGUAAAGCAUUUUGGAUGAAGUAUAAAAACAUGUGACAGGCUGUAUUAUUCUACUUAUGGUACUGUAUACACAAGUUAUUCAAUAUAUUUUUAAUUUGACAAUAGUUGGAAGUUUAGUAUCAUUAAUCCUACAUCAAGUCUCAAAUGGCUGAAUUGCGGUGUAUUUACUGAAUAACCCGUGUUGUACAAUUAUUAUUCACCAGAUGGCAGUAAUGUGAGAGGUCUAUUAACCUUUCAAGUACUGAGCGAAUGUCAAAAUUCAUGAAAUUCCCUGAAUGUUGAGCCCCCAACUCCUGUCACUUACUCCAUUAAAUAUCUUAAACAUAUACAGUUUGGCAUGGGGCGCAUGUCCAUGAUUUAUAGACAAUGACACUUAAAUUAUUGGUUGGAGAAAUAUUCUUUAUUUUAUCUCUUCAAAGUAUAGCCAAGAAUCCUGAAAAAAAGAGAAUGUUGUAUUGAAUAGCGCAUUCGGUUUACCAACAAUGCCGUACUUUGACAAAGUAGAGUGUUUGUUGUGCAUAAAAACAAUGUAACUUGUUAACCAUGUUUCUAUCGCGUAUAAAGCUGCCUCUUUAAAAGUACAUGCUCUAGCAAUGUGAAAUAUAUUAUUAUAAUAAAGACCGAAGUGUUGGUAGAGUAUAACCAUAUCAUUUAACCUACCUGGUGUGUUUGUCAGAAGCGCCGCGCUAAAUUACUUCCUUGUUGAAGUUGAAGUGUGCAUUACGCUUGACGUAAAUUAGUCUACGAAUCAUUGAGGAACAUUUAUCAUUUGACUGGAAUAAGCAAAGUGAUGAAUUAUCCCGGGGGUGAAUAACUUAAUGAAUGCGUAUUGUGUGACUUAAAGAAGAAAGUAUGGUACAAGUUAUUAAAGUGUAUGUUAAUGUAAAACUGUAGUUUAUGAAUGGUAUAUGUCCAUGGGAAAUGACGCAUCUAUGGUAUAAAUGUGCUUUGGAGCUAUCAAGACGGAACAUUCCUAGCUGAAGGGAGUUCCUGGAAAUAGUAUUUAGGUACUCAGUUGUUGUUGUUGUUUUGUUUGUUUUAUGCCUUGGGGAGAGCAGGCUGAGUUUGAGUAAUAGGCAAUAGUUUAUACUGAGAAUAUAUUUUAUUUUUUUCAAGUCCUG